Molecule: long non-coding RNA, 2630 nt
Filed under: Triticum aestivum (bread wheat)
Lineage: Eukaryota; Viridiplantae; Streptophyta; Magnoliopsida; Poales; Poaceae
Description: long non-coding RNA (TAES_LNC016289)
Source: RNAcentral
GGCGAUACGGUCGAUCGGUCCAGCCGAUGCGGUCGAUCGUCUGCGAGGGGAUCGAGUCGUCACUCGAGAGGUGAUCCAGCCGACGCCGUCGAUCAGGCUUCCAUUGAGAAAGCGAGGGGACGCGGGGAUGAAGGCCGACGCUUCGGCUGAUCGAAACUGCUCCAUUGAGACUUGAUAGAUGCAAUCAUACGUCAGUUUCUGAGCCAAUAUUCUUGGUGGCUGGUCUAUAUAUGCUUCCUUCCCUGCCAGUCUUCGCUAACCCUUUCCACUCUCGGUACCACAUCUUCCAGCAUGUUGCUCUGGUAGGUUUCCUCUUUUCAGUUCAUGUAUGCUUCAUUGUUCUUCCAAGCAAUUACGUAUCCUGAUUUCCUCUCAUACCAAAAAUUCUACGUACAGGUGAUGUUCAUGCUGAUUUGAGCAUAUCCUGGAGCUUGGUACUGAGAAUAUUUUUGGUCGACAGUUCAUAAUCUAAAAUGGCGUUCGGAGAUGUAAUUACUCCACACCUUCUCCUUACACAUUUUACCAUCUGCGUUUUUAGGCUGCACUAUUUCUGUGAUGAUUGCAGGCGAUGGGGAUUGCUCAAUCCGGAUUCAGCAUCGAGCACCUGGCCGAAGGUACACGCGGACAUCAGGAAACUUUUGGUUGGGGAUCUCUACCGGGCAGGUUCUUUCACCUGCACACACCAACUUUCUACAUCUAUGGAAAUCUGAACCGGAAGUUUUCAAACUUGAGUAACUGAAUUCCAUUAAGCCAAAUGAGAAUCUUGUCAGUUGUACAUUUUUUCUGUGAUUUUCUUACCCAAUUCUCUAUACAGUCAUCCCUGACUAUUAGGGAGACAAUAUACAAUCUAUUGUUACUUACACUAUUAAAGCUAGCAGCAGGAGGUUGUUAAUGUCAUCAAAACGCGCAACAAGAAUCCAAGCCCAACAGAAAUCAUUUUUGUUUGCAUUGAACCAAAGUGCAAGUACACUAGAGGUAUGCAGAUUAUUUUCUCUAAUACCGUACAACCAAUGCUUCAUCUGUCAAUUAUCUCCUAAAGAUAUGGCUUCACCGGGUACAAAGUAGUCUUAUUGGUGUCCGCUCCCUAUUUUAUUCUCUAUGGAACCCUCUCCUUAAUUAUGACAUGGUAUCCUUUGAAAAAAAAUGUAAUACUUUGGUUCUUUAUGGAAGUACCAUGAAAAAUGAUAGGGGGAAAUCGAUAUUUGCAUCAUGUAGACAAGAACAUGUCACAACUAAGAGAGCUUCCCUUGGUUGUCAAAAUUUUAUCCUUGACUUUAUUGUCAAUUAAAAUUAUCUUCUUACAGGAAUCCUUCCAUUCUGCAAUCUAAUUAUCUCUGAAAUACCAAUAUGGUGUUUUUAUUAAUUUGACUAUUCCAACGACAUUGUAGAAUUACUUUCACAAGUGUGCUGUGAUGCAUUUCUAUUUACUUUAUGCUUAUUUCCCUUAUUCCCUAUUUGUCGGAAACAAUAAUAAGUUGAAUGGCAAGAAAACAAAGCAUGCACUAUUAUUCAGAAUGAAGGUCCCCUUGACCCUUAAAAUCUAUAGAUGAGUGUGUUCAAUAUUUUCCGGGCAUUUCAUUUCUAGAAUGUUCUUUUUCUUACAUUAUAUUUUAGAAUAAACAGUUGUUACAUUUCCUUGGGAUUCAUGCAAGAUUAAUGCUUGAAGUGGUCUCCAUUUUUGCAGUUAAUGUUCAUGCACCCUUUUGUGCAUUAAUACUUCCAUUCCAAUAUCCAUGCCAUUUUGGCUAGCUGAAAGCCGAUAGUGUUUGCUCCAUGGAGAAUUCCUUCUGCUUUUUGGGAUCAGCAGACACCAUUAACUAAUUGUGUUAUUCUUUUGGAUAGCUUGCUAUUGAUUAGACUCAGUUCGAAUACUUUAUGCAAGUUUUAUAUAUGACAAUUAAGAUGUUGGCUGACUUCUUUUUGGCAGCUCUGCACGUGUUGAAAUUCGCAUAUCGAAGUCGAAGCUGUAGUAUAAAUAUAUUAAUUAGCGAGUACUGCUUAACAUGCACUGCGUUACAUGUAACUUGGUUGCGUACCAUGUUCAGAACUUGCUUUCUUGGUUCUGGAUUUCAGGAUUUCUUUCCUGCUUUUUCGUAGGGAUGCGUGUCAUUUUGCCUCUAAUAUUUCUACCAUAAUUUCAUCAAGAUGGAUGCACGCCGCAAUACACAUCUUUAUUUUCUCUACCAGCAUGCUCUUGUUCUGUGUGACUAGAUGUCCAAAACAUUGUCGUCUCAGUUCUGGCCAAGGAUAUUCAUAUCGUUGUAUUAAAUCACCUUUCUUUCCUCUAAUGUUGUAUUGCAGGGUUCAAGGAUUCCCGAGAAGUGGCCAAUGUUCAGUGAAACUGUUGUAUGCUCCCGAGGAAAGUGGUCUCGUGCUAAAAAUCAAGUGCAUUGACCAUGUUAUAUGUUUUCUGAUUUCUUCGCUCAAAAGGUCAUCGAUUGUUGAAUAUGUCUUCUAUGCUACACUUCUUUAAGAUAUGUAAUUAUAUAUAUCAAUAAAUACAAACAAAAGAAUUCCACAACCCCGGUUAUUGUUUUAGCAGUACAACUUUGGGCUUGCAACCUAUAGUCAGAGUGACAAAGUAUAUGACAUCAUCCAAUAGGUUUGUCACCUCGAUAAAGCAAUAUUAU